GCUUUAUAAGCAAAAUGAAACGCAAUCAACCUUGUAAGUUGAAAUUUAAAGGUUAAAAUCCUUUAUAAAGCU
RNAcentral lists this transfer RNA (72 nucleotides) under Florometra sp. BMK-2020. RNAcentral's name for it is "tRNA-Thr". It matches the Rfam family "tRNA". Rfam says of the family: Transfer RNA (tRNA) molecules are approximately 80 nucleotides in length. RNAcentral also lists the same sequence under 1 other name. The record is from RNAcentral. Lineage: Eukaryota; Metazoa; Echinodermata; Crinoidea; Comatulida; Antedonidae.